This 278-nucleotide ribosomal RNA is filed under the name Clostridium perfringens. RNAcentral describes it as "partial 16S ribosomal RNA". It matches the Rfam family "Bacterial small subunit ribosomal RNA", at positions 1 to 276 of the family's 1533-position model. Lineage: Bacteria; Bacillati; Bacillota; Clostridia; Eubacteriales; Clostridiaceae. The record is from RNAcentral.
UAAAUUGAGAGUUUGAUCCUGGCUCAGGAUGAACGCUGGCGGCGUGCUUAACACAUGCAAGUCGAGCGAUGAAGUUUCCUUCGGGAAACGGAUUAGCGGCGGACGGGUGAGUAACACGUGGGUAACCUGCCUCAUAGAGUGGAAUAGCCUUCCGAAAGGAAGAUUAAUACCGCAUAAUGUUGAAAGAUGGCAUCAUCAUUCAACCAAAGGAGCAAUCCGCUAUGAGAUGGACCCGCGGCGCAUUAGCUAGUUGGUGGGGUAACGGCCUACCAAGGCGA